This 686-nucleotide long non-coding RNA is filed under the name Zea mays. Its description in RNAcentral is "long non-coding RNA NONZMAT003969". The record is from RNAcentral. Lineage: Eukaryota; Viridiplantae; Streptophyta; Magnoliopsida; Poales; Poaceae.
AUCGCCAGUCGUACGCCGUACGCCCUUUCGAGGGCCCGGAAGGGCGACGAGGAUGAAGGAUUGAAGGCGAACCGGCACCGCUCAUGCCGACACGCCCGAGCCGUACGUGCGCACGUGAGCACAUCUCAUGCCGCACCGCACGGGACCGCACGAGGCAGGCACGACGCCGCCUAGCACAACAGCUUAAGGAUUACGACGAUCUUCGGCGGCGGGCGGCCUCAAAAUCUGCGGCGGCGCCCCGCUCCCGCUGCCCGCUCUAGACGAAAGCGACCACACGCCGUCGCAGCGGUCCAGAUCCUUGCUGUCUGGCGCGGCCGACCCCUGGCGUAAGAUCAGUAGCAGAUUCGUUCUUGAUUAGUGGCAGGCGCGUCUUGGAGUCUAGUCUGGCUGGCCUCUCCAACACCCUUGGUCGGCUGGCCAUGGAGUUGGCAAGUGGCCUGUUCGUAAUCGUACGUGUCGCAACUUGAAAGCAGGCGUUAUUGAGAGUACACCGUAAAAACGCCAGGCUCCAAGCAGGUCGCGCACCUCUCCAAAGCGCAGUAAAAGAUUAUCAGUACGGUCUAGCCCGCUAGUGAUGAGAAAAUCCAGUUAAUGUCAUCCAAAUUUAUACUAAUCCAUUCAAUGCCAUCAGAAUUUAUAGCUUCUCUUCAGUACUAUCAAUUUUAAAUUUUAAUCAGUUGAAUGUC